RNAcentral lists this ribosomal RNA (539 nucleotides) under uncultured bacterium. Its description in RNAcentral is "bacterial SSU rRNA". It matches the Rfam family "Bacterial small subunit ribosomal RNA", at positions 9 to 524 of the family's 1533-position model. The record is from RNAcentral.
GAGUUUGAUCAUGGCUCAGAAUCAACGCUGGCGGCGUGCCUAACACAUGCAAGUCGAACGCGAAAACCCCGCAAGGGGUGAGUAGAGUGGCAAACGGAUGAGUAACGCGUGGGUGACCUGCCUUCGAGCGGGGGAUAACGUUCCGAAAGGGACGCUAAUACCGCAUAACAUCCUGCCUUUGAAGAGGUGGCGAUCAAAGCUGGGGAUUCGCAAGAACCCGGCACUUGAAGAGGGGCCCGCGUCUGAUUAGCUAGUUGGUGAGGUAACGGCUCACCAAGGCAACGAUCAGUAUCCGGCCUGAGAGGGCGGACGGACACACUGGGACUGAGACACGGCCCAGACUCCUACGGGAGGCAGCAGUGGGGAAUUGUUCGCAAUGGGCGCAAGCCUGACGACGCAACGCCGCGUGGAGGAUGAAGAUUUUCGGAUCGUAAACUCCUGUCGAAUGGGACGAAAAGGUCACGGUUUAAUAUCCCGUGAUCCUGACGGUACCGUUAAAGGAAACCCCGGCUAACUACCGUGCCAGCCGCCGCAGUAAC